GAUGAACGCUGGCGGCGUGCCUAAUACAUGCAAGUCGAGCGAACGGACGAGAAGCUUGCUUCUCUGAUGUUAGCGGCGGACGGGUGAGUAACACGUGGAUAACCUACCUAUAAGACUGGGAUAACUUCGGGAAACCGGAGCUAAUACCGGAUGAUAUUUUGAACCGCAUGGUUCAAAAGUGAAAGACGGUCUUGCUGUCACUUAUAGAUGGAUCCGCGCUGCAUUAGCUAGUUGGUAAGGUAACGGCUUACCAAGGCAACGAUGCAUAGCCGACCUGAGAGGGUGCUCGGCCACACUGGAACUGAGACACGGUCCAGACUCCUACGGGAGGCAGCAGUAGGGAAUCUUCCGCAAUGGGCGAAAGCCUGACGGAGCAACGCCGCGUGAGUGAUGAAGGUCUUCGGAUCGUAAAACUCUGUUAUUAGGGAAGAACAUAUGUGUAAGUAACUGUGCACAUCUUGACGGUACCUAAUCAGAAAGCCACGGCUAACUACGUG
Molecule: ribosomal RNA, 497 nt
Filed under: uncultured bacterium
Lineage: Bacteria
Description: partial 16S ribosomal RNA
Rfam family: Bacterial small subunit ribosomal RNA
Source: RNAcentral